GACGAACGCUGGCGGCGUGCUUAACCCAUGCAAGUCGAACGGUAAGGCCCUUCGGGUACACGAGUGGCGAACGGGUGAGUAACACGUGGGUGAUCUGCCCUGCACUUCGGGAUAAGCUUGGGAAACCGGGUCUAAUACCGGAUAGGACCACUGCCUGCAUGGGUGGUGGUGGAAAGCUUUUGCGGUGUGGGAUGGGCCCGCGGCCUAUCAGCUUGUUGGUGGGGUGAUGGCCUACCAAGGCGACGACGGGUAGCCGGCCUGAGAGGGUGACCGGCCACACUGGGACUGAGAUACGGCCCAGACUCCUACGGGAGGCAGCAGUGGGGAAUAUUGCACAAUGGGCGCAAGCCUGAUGCAGCGACGCCGCGUGAGGGAUGACGGCCUUCGGGUUGUAAACCGCUUUCAGCACCGACGAAGCGCAAGUGACGGUAGGUGCAGAAGAAGGACCGGCCAACUACGUGCCAGCCGCCGCAGUAA
Molecule: ribosomal RNA, 477 nt
Filed under: uncultured bacterium
Lineage: Bacteria
Description: partial 16S ribosomal RNA
Rfam family: Bacterial small subunit ribosomal RNA
Source: RNAcentral